Molecule: long non-coding RNA, 1982 nt
Organism: Oncorhynchus gorbuscha (pink salmon)
Lineage: Eukaryota; Metazoa; Chordata; Actinopteri; Salmoniformes; Salmonidae
Exons: 3
Source: RefSeq, a predicted model, not a curated record
UAUUCCCCACUGCCCAUUGAGACAGCCUGUGUCCUUACUCCUUAGAGACCAAAGCAUACAGCACUCUUCUUAAAGACAAGGCGUUUGGAACUGUAGAUAUUGGAUUGGCCCCGACUUUUUACAGCCCAAAACCAUCUUGAAGUGUGGCUUCCAUGUAGUGAUUUCUUAUUUUCCUCUCUUUUCUAAAAUGUUUGUCCAAUUCUUAAGUGCUUUUCAGGCUCCCAUAAUAGCCCACCGUUUCUUUUCUGUCAGGGUUCGCUGUUUUUCACAAGCAGAUCAAGCCCGUCUGGAUGACCCUUCUAGGUGCCUAAAUUGAAACAUGACUCGUUCACCCUUUUCCAUUGACUUUCCAAAGCAAUGAGGGUAUGGAAGGGACUGCAGAGAUUUUUGAGAGUGAUGUUUUCCAUCUUCCCGCUGCCAGUUGAGAGGACAAAAUUCGAAAGAAAGUUACGUGGUAGGCUAUUCCUCGGAAGUUACUCAUGUCAGGCUUCUCGGAUACACAACUAUGCUGCGCGGCUGUCAGCGUUGCGGUCUCAUUCAACACUGGAGACUUUGGCGCCAUCCCUGCGGACACCACUUCUGCCGUAAGUGCAUGGAUCAGAUCAUAGAUGAUGGUUUCCGCGACAUCGAGGGCUUGGCUCAAGUCCCUGUCCACAGUGUAAAUCAGUUAUAGCCUAUUAAGUGUGUAAUCGUGACUGUAUGUUAGUGCCUUUUUCUGACUUUAUGUAACCUUUUCUUUUUCUAUGCACUUUGUAGUCCCUGCAUGUCUCUAUUGCCCAGGCAAUUCAACAGAACUAUGAUAUCAUCAAGACAAAGGACAAGCAAUACUACUUCACCACUUAUCUAGUCAGUCAGAUCAGAUUUUCAUUGUAAUCUUUUUGACAUUCUAUUCUAUGCAUUAAUGAGUGUGUGUAGUAUGACAAGGUUACAAUCAAUGACAUUAAUAUAUCUUAAUAUAACUAUCUAAAUUUAGCUGAUGCUAAACUCCAUCCAAUACAAACGACUAUUUAAGAAUAUUAACAACUCAGGUUCCUAGGCAAGGUGGGGGAGAAACGGAUUGCAUGUAAUCAUGUACAUUUAAUCUGAUUACAACAAAAAGUAGUUCCAGCUAAAAUUGUGUAAUCAGGUUACAGAUACUUUGAAAAACUAGAUGAUUACUCCUUGGAUUACUUGCUUGCGACAAAAUACAUUAACACUUUUCCUUUCAAUGACAUUCAAUUCAGCCUUGAAAAAAGGGCAAAUUUAGUUUGUUCCACCUGAGUCUGACCACAAAUUAGAGACCACUAUGAUGACACACCAAAUGCGUUUGAUGGAUCCUUUUUGGCUUCUAAUGCCUCUUAAGGGGAAAGUAAUUUAAAAGUAACUGAAAUUAAUAAGAUUACAUUACUGAGUAUGGUUAAUCCAAAAUUACUGAUUACAAUUUUGGACAGGUAACUAGUAACUGUAACGGAUUAUAUUUAGUAAGUAAACUACCCAACUCUGCUUAUAGGCUAUAUGAUAGAGUGGCCCAAAGGUCAGUAUAUCAAAACAACACUUCCCAUCAAAUUCUGCCCAGAAAUGUAUCUAAUUUCAACCCCAUAAUUUGAUCUUUAACCUUCAUUAAAUUACACAGCAGUACACAGUGUAUUAAUUUAAUCUGCAAUGUGCCCAUUUUUUAAAUUCUUUUUUACCUUUAUUUAACGAGGCAAGUCAGUUAAGAACAAAUUCUUAUCUUCAAUGACGGCCUAGGAACGGUGGGUUAACUGCCUGUUCAGGGGCAGAACGACAGAUUUGUACCUUGUCAGCUCGGGGGUUUGAACCCUAGUGGUAGCCUAGUGGGGAAAAUAAUCACAGACAAAAUGGCCACCUUUCAAGCCCUUUAUUGGUGAAAUUUCAGCAUAAUUUCAAGAUGAUGUCAAGAGAAGGAGUGAGCUGGACUUGACCCAGGUGAAACAGACAGAGUGGAGAUGGUUUUUCCUUUCUAUGGGGAUGUAACGUUAGCU